RNAcentral lists this ribosomal RNA (433 nucleotides) under uncultured bacterium. RNAcentral describes it as "partial 16S ribosomal RNA". It matches the Rfam family "Bacterial small subunit ribosomal RNA", at positions 29 to 507 of the family's 1533-position model. The record is from RNAcentral.
AACGAACGCUGGCGGCAUGCCUAACACAUGCAAGUCGAACGAGACCUUCGGGUCUAGUGGCGCACGGGUGCGUAACGCGUGGGAACCUGCCCUUAGGUUCGGCAUAACUCCCCGACAGGGGUGCUAAUACCGGAUAAUGUCUUCGGACCAAAGAUUUAUCGCCUUUGGAGGGGCCCGCGUUGGAUUAGCUAGUUGGUAGGGUAAAAGCCUACCAAGGCGACGAUCCAUAGCUGGUCUGAGAGGAUGAUCAGCCACACUGGGACUGAGACACGGCCCAGACUCCUACGGGAGGCAGCAGUGGGGAAUAUUGGACAAUGGGCGAAAGCCUGAUCCAGCAAUGCCGCGUGAGUGAUGAAGGCCUUAGGGUUGUAAAGCUCUUUUACCCGGGAUGAUAAUGACAGUACCGGGAGAAUAAGCUCCGGCUAACUCCGUG